RNAcentral lists this ribosomal RNA (494 nucleotides) under uncultured bacterium. RNAcentral's name for it is "partial 16S ribosomal RNA". It matches the Rfam family "Bacterial small subunit ribosomal RNA", at positions 28 to 507 of the family's 1533-position model. The record is from RNAcentral.
GAUGAACGCUGGCGGCGUGCCUAAUACAUGCAAGUAGAACGCUGAGGCAGGAGCUUUCUCUUCUGGACGAGUUGCGAACGGGUGAGUAACACGUAGGUAACCUGCCCGUUAGCGGGGGAUAACUAUUGGAAACGAUAGCUAAUACCGCAUAACAACUGUUAUUGCAUGUUAUCCGUUUGAAAGGGGCAGCUGCUCCGCUACCAGUUGGACCUGCGUUGUAUUAGCUAGUUGGUGAGGUAACGGCUUACCAAGGCGACGAUGCAUAGCCGACCUGAGAGGGGGAUCGGCCACACGGGAACUGAGACACGGCCCAGACUCCUACGGGAGGCAGCAGUAGGGAAUCUUCGGCAAUGGACGGAAGUCUGACCGAGCAACGCCGCGUGAGUGAAGAAGGUUUUCGGAUCGUAAAGCUCUGUUGUAAGAGAAGAACGAGUGUGGAAGUGGAAAGUCCACACUGGAAGGUAAUCGUACAAGAAGGCACGGCUAACUACGUG